Corvus moneduloides (New Caledonian crow) is the source of this 2931-nucleotide long non-coding RNA. NCBI's taxonomy places the organism in Eukaryota, Metazoa, Chordata, Aves, Passeriformes, Corvidae. The record is from Ensembl.
AUGGGGUGUCCUGGGGGGUCCCAGAGUGGCUGUGGGGUCCCUAUGGGGCACCUUGAGGGGUCUUGGAGUCCCUGUGGGGCAGCCUGGGGUGUCCUGGGGGGUCCUGGGGUGUCCCAGAGUGGCUGUGGGGUCACUAUGGGGCACCUUGAGGGGUCUUGGGGUCCCUGUGGGGCAGCCUGGGGUGUCCUGGGGUGUCCAUGGUGUCCUGGGGUGUCCAUGGGGUGUCCAUGGGGGGUCCUGGAGUGGCUGUGGGGUCCCUGUGGGGCAGCCUGGGGUGUCCUGGGGUGUCCAUGGUGUCCUGGGGUGUCCAUGGGGUGUCCAUGGGGGGUCCUGGAGUGGCUGUGGGGUCCCUGUGGGGCAGCCUGGGGGGUCCUGGAGUGGCUGUGUGGUCACUCUGGGGCGCCGUGGGGUGUCCAUGGGGUGUCCAUGGUGUCCUGGGGUGUCCAUGGGUGUCCUGGAGUGGCUGUGUGGUCACUCUGGGGCACCGUGAGGUGUCCAGGGUGGUCCAGGAGUGGCUGUGGGGUCCCUACGGGGCACCUUGAGGGGUCUUGGAGUCCCUGUGGGGCAGCCUGGGGUGUCCUGGGGGGUCCUGGGGUGUCCUGGAGUGUCCUGGGGUGUCCAUGGGGUGUUGUGGGGGGUCCUGGAGUGGCUCCAAAAAAAGCAGGAAAAGAGCCCAAAAUAAGGAGGAGAGCCCAAAAAUCCCCAAAGCAUGUCCAUGGGGUGUCCAUGGGGUGUCCUGGGGAGUCCUGGGGUGGCUGUGGGGUCCCUAUGGGGCACCUUGAGGGGUCUUGGAGUCCCUAUGGGGCAGCCUGGGCUGUCCUGGAGUGGCUGUGGGGUCCCUAUGGGGCACCGUGGGGUGGCCUUAGGGUGUCCUGGGGGAUCCAGGAGUGGCUCCGAAAAAGCAGGAAAAGAACCCAAAAUAAGGAGGAGAGCCCAAAAAUCCCCAGAAGAUGUCCAUGGGGUGUCCAUGGGGUGUCCAUGGGGUGUCCUGGGGUGUCCUGGGGUAUCCAUGGGGUCCUGGGGUCUCUGUGGGGUCCCUGUGGGGUCUCUGUGGGGUCUCUGUGGGGUCUCUGUGGGGUCCCUGUGGGGUCUCUUUGGGGUCCCUUUGGGGUCUCUUUGGGGUCCCUGUGGGGUCUCUGUGGGGUCUCUGUGGGGUCUCUGUGGGGUCUCUGUGGGGUCCCUGUGGGGUCCCUGUGGGGUCUCUUUGGGGUCCCUUUGGGGUCCCUUUGGGGUCUCUUUGGGGUCCCUGUGGGGUCUCUGUGGGGUCUCUGUGGGGUCCCUGUGGGGUCCCUUUGGGGUCCCUGUGGGGUCUCUGUGGGGUCUCUUUGGGGUCCCUGUGGGGUCCCUUUGGGGUCCCUGUGGGGUCUCUUUGGGGUCUCUGUGGGGUCUCUGUGGGGUCUCUUUGGGGUCUCUGUGGGGUCUCUGUGGGGUCCCUUUGGGGUCCCUGUGGGGUCUCUGUGGGGUCUCUUUGGGGUCCCUGUGGGGUCCCUUUGGGGUCCCUGUGGGGUCUCUAUGGGACUCAGUGGGGUCUCUAUGGGGUCUCUAUGGGGUCUCUGUGGGGUCUCUGUGGGGUCCCUUUGGGGUCCCUGUGGGGUCUCUUUGGGGUCUCUUUGGGGUCCCUGUGGGGUCUCUGUGGGGUCUCUUUGGGGUCUCUGUGGGGUCCCUGUGGGGUCUCUUUGGGGUCCCUUUGGGGUCCCUUUGGGGUCUCUUUGGGGUCCCUGUGGGGUCUCUGUGGGGUCUCUGUGGGGUCCCUGUGGGGUCCCUUUGGGGUCCCUGUGGGGUCUCUUUGGGGUCUCUUUGGGGUCUCUGUGGGGUCCCUGUGGGGUCUCUGUGGGGUCCCUUUGGGGUCCCUUUGGGGUCCUGGGGUCCCUGUGGGGUCCCUUUGGGGUCCCUGUGGGGUCCCUGUGGGGUCUCUGUGGGGUCCCUGUGGGGUCCUGGGGUCCCUGUGGGGUCCCUGUGGGGUCUCUGUGGGGUCUCUUUGGGGUCCCUGUGGGGUCUCUUUGGGGUCCCUGUGGGGUCUCUGUGGGGUCCCUUUGGGGUCCCUUUGGGGUCCUGGGGUCCCUGUGGGGUCCCUUUGGGGUCCCUGUGGGGUCCCUGUGGGGUCUCUGUGGGGUCCCUGUGGGGUCCUGGGGUCCCUGUGGGGUCCCUGUGGGGUCUCUGUGGGGUCUCUUUGGGGUCCCUGUGGGGUCUCUUUGGGGUCCCUGUGGGGUCUCUGUGGGGUCCCUUUGGGGUCCCUUUGGGGUCCCUGUGGGGUCCUGGGGUCCCUGUGGGGUCCCUGUGGGGUCUCUGUGGGGUCUCUUUGGGGUCCCUGUGGGGUCUCUUUGGGGUCCCUGUGGGGUCUCUGUGGGGUCCCUUUGGGGUCCCUUUGGGGUCCCUGUGGGGUCCUGGGGUCCCUGUGGGGUCCCUGUGGGGUCUCUGUGGGGUCUCUUUGGGGUCCCUGUGGGGUCUCUGUGGGGUCCCUUUGGGGUCCCUUUGGGGUCCCUGUGGGGUCCUGGGGUCCCUGUGGGGUCCCUGUGGGGUCUCUGUGGGGUCUCUUUGGGGUCCCUGUGGGGUCUCUUUGGGGUCCCUGUGGGGUCUCUGUGGGGUCCCUUUGGGGUCCCUUUGGGGUCCCUGUGGGGUCCUGGGGUCCCUGUGGGGUCCCUGUGGGGUCUCUGUGGGGUCUCUUUGGGGUCCCUGUGGGGUCUCUGUGGGGUCUCUGUGGGGUCUCUUUGGGGUCCCUGUGGGGUCCCUGUGGGGUCUCUGUGGGGUCCUGGGGUCCCUGUGGGGUCCCUGUGGGGUCUCUGUGGGGUCCCUGUGGGGUCCCUGUGGGGUCUCUGUGGGGUCCCUGUGGGGUCCUUUUGGGGUCCCUGUGGGGUCUCUGUGGGGUCUCUGUGGGGUCCCUUUGGGGUCCCUUUGGGGUCCCCCCUCCCCUCCCCGCCCCUCCCCCAUUAA